Molecule: transfer RNA, 98 nt
Filed under: Moniliophthora roreri
Lineage: Eukaryota; Fungi; Basidiomycota; Agaricomycetes; Agaricales; Marasmiaceae
Rfam family: tRNA
About the family: Transfer RNA (tRNA) molecules are approximately 80 nucleotides in length.
Source: Rfam by way of RNAcentral
UCCAAUGUGGUGUAGUGGCUAACAUUGCUGUCUUUCAUGUAAUUGUGUACACCCGCGUAAUUGCACAGCAGCCCGGGGUUCGAUUCCCCGCAUUGGAA